This 119-nucleotide ribosomal RNA is filed under the name Klebsiella aerogenes. RNAcentral describes it as "partial 16S ribosomal RNA". It matches the Rfam family "Bacterial small subunit ribosomal RNA", at positions 1 to 110 of the family's 1533-position model. Lineage: Bacteria; Pseudomonadati; Pseudomonadota; Gammaproteobacteria; Enterobacterales; Enterobacteriaceae. The record is from RNAcentral. RNAcentral also lists the same sequence under 12 other names.
UUAAAUUGAAGAGUUUGAUCAUGGCUCAGAUUGAACGCUGGCGGCAGGCCUAACACAUGCAAGUCGAACGGUAACAGGAAGCAGCUUGCUGCUUCGCUGACGAGUGGCGGACGGGUGAG